Molecule: ribosomal RNA, 638 nt
Filed under: uncultured bacterium
Lineage: Bacteria
Description: bacterial SSU rRNA
Rfam family: Bacterial small subunit ribosomal RNA
Source: RNAcentral
AAAAGAUGGUUCUGCUAUCACUCUUGGAUGGACCUGCGGUGCAUUAGCUAGUUGGUAAGGUAACGGCUUACCAAGGCAAUGAUGCAUAGCCGAGUUGAGAGACUGAUCGGCCACAUUGGGACUGAGACACGGCCCAAACUCCUACGGGAGGCAGCAGUAGGGAAUCUUCCACAAUGGACGCAAGUCUGAUGGAGCAACGCCGCGUGAGUGAAGAAGGGUUUCGGCUCGUAAAGCUCUGUUGGUAGUGAAGAAAGAUAGAGGUAGUAACUGGCCUUUAUUUGACGGUAAUUACCUAGAAAGUCACGGCUAACUACGUGCCAGCAGCCGCGGUAAUACGUAGGUGGCAAGCGUUGUCCGGAUUUAUUGGGCGUAAAGCGAGUGCAGGCGGUUCAAUAAGUCUGAUGUGAAAGCCUUCGGCUCAACCGGAGAAUUGCAUCAGAAACUGUUGAACUUGAGUGCAGAAGAGGAGAGUGGAACUCCAUGUGUAGCGGUGGAAUGCGUAGAUAUAUGGAAGAACACCAGUGGCGAAGGCGGCUCUCUGGUCUGCAACUGACGCUGAGGCUCGAAAGCAUGGGUAGCGAACAGGAUUAGAUACCCUGGUAGUCCAUGCCGUAAACGAUGAGUGCUAAGUGUUGGGA